RNAcentral lists this transfer RNA (82 nucleotides) under Anaerovirgula multivorans. RNAcentral describes it as "tRNA_Leu_GAG". It matches the Rfam family "tRNA". From Rfam's summary of the family: Transfer RNA (tRNA) molecules are approximately 80 nucleotides in length. Their secondary structure includes four short double-helical elements and three loops (D, anti-codon, and T loops). Lineage: Bacteria; Bacillati; Bacillota; Clostridia; Peptostreptococcales; Natronincolaceae. The record is from RNAcentral.
GCGGUAGUGGUGGAAUCGGCAGACACGUAGUCUUGAGGGGGCUAUGUCAAUAGACGUAAGGGUUCAAGUCCCUUCUACCGCA